Molecule: long non-coding RNA, 908 nt
Filed under: Anser brachyrhynchus (Pink-footed goose)
Lineage: Eukaryota; Metazoa; Chordata; Aves; Anseriformes; Anatidae
Description: lncRNA (ENSABRG00000001808.1)
Source: RNAcentral
CUAUGUACUGUUAUUUAUCUGUCUAAUCUGGGUGAGAAGAAUUAACCUCUCUAGGCAUUUCUCUCUAAAUGCUCUACAUGUAGCUGAACCUCAACUAUGAGAUCUACGUAAAAAUCUGAAGUUACAAGGUGAUGACAUGUGCAUUGUUUGUUGAUUGUAUUUUUUAUUUAUUUUUUCCCUCUAAGCCCUGCGUGCUGGUACCAAAGAGCAGUGCUGAAACAAGCUCUCCAAUUUCCAAUGAGUGGAAGUUCUUGCUGCCCCGACUUUUCAGCUUCUGACCUAGCCCUGGCAAUCAGAUUCUUUGCUGCUGCUGCUUUCGAAGGAAAUGUUGGACAGCCUACAUCCUGCAACAUUACUAAUCAGCAGCAGGAUGAAAAGAAUAUUGAAAAAGUUGUAUCAACGAAAAUCACCAAAUCUGGACUACCAAGAAGAGAAACUCCCCCAAAGUAAUCCUUCAUAGACUGUCUUGGACACUUGGAAGAAAACAAACAAACAAACAAAAAAACCAGAACAACAACAAUCCCUAAUCACAACCUCACGAUCAGAACUGCCUAAUCAAUUUCCUUUGAAGAGUUUGCAAGCAACAGGCACUACUUUUAGUGCUUGAACUGCAAGUGAAAUGAGUUAUAAACAAGACUUGAACAAAAGUGGAGUUGAUAAAUUUAUUUUCAUUACCCAUUAAAAAAGACACACAAAAACAAACAAGCAAGGUAAUUUUUAAAAUCUUAACCUAACUCCCUUUUACUUUAUCUCUUUAUAUCUUUUUAAAAAUGCUUAAAUUAAUAGUUACCUAAGAAGCUCUGUAAGUGUAAUAUUACACUGUAACUGUAAUCUUGACCACUUGCUUAGUAUUAAGAAAUCAUUGCUUAAAUGGUUCUAUUAUUCAAAAUAAAUGGAUAUUUUCAGUA